AUGCCAUUUGCUCUUAUGUUCUUCUGGGAUGUUCACAUGGUAUUUAACAAACAACUAGGUCUAGAUCAGGUCUUGACAAACUACAGAAAACUACAAUUCUGGAGCAUGCCCCUUUUUGUUUUACAGGCACACAGCCACACCCAUUUGUCUGCUUAUUAUCUCUGGCUGCUUUUGCUCUACAAUGGCAGAGGUUUUGGGGUACAUGUCAAGAACAUGCAAGAUAGUUGCACAGCUCACUCUGAUGGAAGCCAGCUGCUAUGUUGUGUUUUGCUCUAUGGAGAGGCCCAGGUAGAAGGAAUUGAAGGAGGCUUUCAGCCAACAGUCAGCAAGGAACUGAGGCUGUCAGUCCAAGAGCCUAAAAGGAACUGAAUCCUACCAGCAACCAUGCAAGUGACUUGAAAGUGGAGCCUCUCCCAGCUGAGCCUUUGAAUAAGACCACAGCCCCAUAUAAUACCUUGAUUGUAGUCUUGUUAGAGAUCUUGAGCCAGUGGCACUCAGAUAAGCUGUACCUGGAUUCCUGAACCAUAAAACCCCAGAAAUAGUAAAUGUUUGUCAUUUUGAACUGUGAAUUCUUCUUGCAGGUAAUUUCUUAUGCAGAAAGAGAUAACAAAUACACAGAUCAUAUAAAUAAAGUGGCUCAGUUUGCCUGGAACCUCAGGGUCUGUAUUCUUUACCCUGAUUCCAGGGUCUGUAUGUUUUAUCUCGGUGCAAUGAAGAGUUUGAUUAGCCUGCACUUUUAUAAGCUACUAUUUCUACCACAUUAAAUUAGAUAGUCUUUCAGUUCUUCUUCAAUUCUAUUUGUUCUUUGAAAGACUCUUUUCUAACUAGAAACAACCUGUUGCUGAAAUGAGGAAUUAUUUUCCAAGUAGGCAAUUUCCUUGAGUCAUGAAAAUUUAGGGUUAGAAGGAACUUAAAAAUUCACAUAGUCCAAAUCAACCUGUUCCCAAUUUUUACAGAUGGGAAAUUAGACCCAACAAAAUUAAGAGCCUUGCCUAAAGUUAUACAAUUAGUAAAAGAAUGAGGAUUAAAAUUCAGGUCUCCUAAUGUCCAGUUUAGAACCGAUUGAUAGCUCUAUAUGGCCAUAGCUCACUACCACAUUCUGGACCUGGAGUAGAAUCAAUUCGAUUCCUAUUCAUUUUAGCUGUACAAAAACACAAGAAUCUUAAAGGGAACAGCUGAGCAGGAUAUUUAUUUCCUUUGCUCUGAGGCUCACCUCCCCUGAAAGAGGGGUCAACAGCCUGUGUCCAAUUGAAUGACUAUUCAUCUUCCAGUCUCUUAACCACAGCACUGGAUCCAACAUGGCAAUGAAGUUUUUCAUAUUGAGAGCCAACUCCAAAUGAUUGUCUUGGCUCUUUGGACUGCUUAUUGAGAAGCAUUUCCUGAGAUGAAGUGGAAGAGAGCUGUGAUCAGCUAGUAAUGUCAGCCAUAAGAGGAGGUUAGGGGUGUGGUGGAGUGCAUGCCAUAUUUUGCCCACUGGGAUUUCUGUGGAUUUCGGUCCAGGUCCUUCCUUUGAUGACCCACUCUCUUCCUGCUAUGACCCAUUCUUCCCAUACAAGUUGCCCAGGAAGGCUCACUCUUAAGGCUCCCUUGGCCCUAAUUUCUGGAAUCUUUUUUCUCAUUUGAUGUGAGAUUUAGCACACAAGUGGCAUUGGUGGAAUUCACCUUGUAAGUGAGUGUGGUGUUAGAAACAGAGCCAGUUCUCAAAUCCUUGUGGGUUUAAUGCUUUUAUGGCUUUGUAGUCUUUGUUUCUGGCUAGACUUAAAAAUCACAUUGCCAGUAGACUGUGAGUACACCAAAUACAUAAAUAAAUAAAUAAUGCAGGAAGGUACAACUUUGCACAUGCUUACUCUGUUGUCUUUUUCAAAAACAUUUCAUCUUCCUCAGUCCCAGGGGGUCAUGAGAAUAAAUUUACAUGUCAGUGUUAGUCCAGAAGUAAAAGACAGGGAAAAGACUGGUGCUGUAGAUCAAAAGCACAAUUAACAUGUACCUUGAGAUCUGGACAACUGAAGAAGCUGUGAGGUAGGACUUAAAUAUCUCUGUGGGUGGCAGUUUCAACAUUGUAAAAUUGCUGUGUUUUUACCCCCCCUUUUUAGCAGAGUUCUGUGUUAGGCAAUGUUAGAAUUCAAAUACGUGACUGGGGAGUGUUCAUUUCCUUUUAUUCUUCUGCCUGCUUUUUGACUUUCUUCUUCCAUAUUGAUCCAUUUUACUCUCUUUUUGAUGACCCAAGUUUUUCUCUAUUAUUACUUUUCAGCAUUGAAGUGCUAAAGACCUCAAUGAAAAUGUUUUACUUUUCACAAUAUUUUUAAUCAGAAGCUUAUUUUAUUGAAAUAGUAAGAUAAUUCUAGAACCCCCUUUAUUAUCUAAAUAUUCUUGCCCUUGCCUUCUGGAAAACACAAAACCCUUUCUCUCUUAAUGGGAAAGCAACACAAACCUGAACAUGACAUGAUGAUUUGAGCCGUGUAAUUUGAACAAGUCACUGACUGUAUGCUUCUUUUGUAUCCAGAGAUAAAUUGUGUGUGUGUGUGUGUGUGUGUGUGAGAGAGAGAGAGAGAGAGAGAGAGAGAGAGAGAGAGAGAGAGAGAUUGGAAUGAGAUUAGCAGUUUAACCCCCUUUGAAAUUUUGAGAUUAUGGGAAGGAGAAGAUGAGCUAGUGAGAAUUCCCUAUCCUUCUUCAACCAGAGCCACUGUUUUGUGUAAGGGCUCUUUGCAUUAGAGUUAAUUUGAAAGACAGUUUCUAUUUUUUUUUAAUUUGAAAAUUACCUGAAUCCAUGAGCCUUACAUUCCUUCUACCUCUAACAUUUUACACUACCUACAUGUAAUCAGAUGGUCCCAGGUUUAAGAAUGUUGUCUCUUUCAGAUGUCUUUGUGUUUGAGUUAGAACCACACCAUACUGUGGGUUUUCAGGCAAGUUAUUCUCUCAAGGCCUUAGCUCUCCUCUUCUCUAAAAUGGACACAAGAGUUGUACCAACCUCAGUGAUGGUGGUGACAAUCAAAUGAGACAACUCACAGUGUCCAGCAAAUUAUGAAUGCUCAAUAAGCGUUAGUCAAUACUAUUAGUCUAAAGAAAUGCUUGAAUUACACAUGGUAGUUUCACCUUCCUUUAUUAAUUUGAUUUAUGAUUAUUUCAAAUAAGACUUCUCCUAGGACAAACUCCAGGUCAAUAAAAUAGAAUAUCUUAUGCUUUGCUGCUGUUUUAACUUGACAUUGCAGGGAAAAUUUAUUUAUAUAAUUUUAGAGUAUUAAGAGUAAAGAGAUAUGCAAAACAUACUGCAUUGUAUCCUAUAGAUUUCUGUCCAAAAACUUUCAGUUAAAAGUUAAAAUGACAAAAAAAAAGUUCAGAUGAAAUGAAUUGUUUCUGUGGAUGGUGCUGUGCUAUCAGCUUUUUCAUAAAUUUUAAGCUUAUAUCUGGAAAAUUUUAUUUUUUAUUUAGGUCUUUGAGUCUCGGUUUCUUGAUCUGUGAAGUCAAGGAAUUAGACCAAUAACUUUGUAGAUUCAAUGUUGAUUAUUCAAAAUUUAUUACAAGUAAUAUGGUACUCUAAUCAAUUUGUCUCAUUUCUCCAGGCCUGUUUCCUCAGCUGCAAACUGAGGAGAAAAUGUUCUUACCUAUCAGCUGCCUUUAAUUUUAACAUUGGAGUUUUAACUCUUCUAUUUCUGCUCUUCCUUAACUAAGUUAGUAUAUGGUUAUCAAUCAUCCAAACUAUAACAUAUCACACAUUCAUUUCUGAUGUUUCCAGGUGCACAGUGAAAAGCUUGUGAACAUAUACUAGGCAACUGCUGGGUGCUACAGGCAUAGUAAUGAAAAGCCAUGUUUCCUGACUUCAGGAACUUGGACAUCAGACAUAGAAUGAUGAAGACCAUAAGGAUGAGGGUGAGGAUGAUGAUAAUGACAGAGAUAAUAAAUGUAAAGAUAAUUGCUUUAAUAGGAAUAAGUACAAUAUUCACUGGAGACAAAAGAUCUAGAGAAUCUAAAUCAGUUCCCAGCAACCUCAUAAAAAAAAGUUGACUUCCACAAAGAUGAUCACACUUUUCUUUUUGUAAUAGUCUUUUUCCCAAGUUUACAUGACACAUCUUUAUAUUUUUUUUUGGUUUUUCAUUCUUCUCUCACUGCUGCUUCUAUCUCCUUUCAUAUUACACUGUCCUCUACUUGACCACUAAGUGUCAGAAUUUUUAAAAGUCACAUUCCUUGGUCCCCUUUUCUUCUAACUCUUUUCUCUUUCCCUAGAAAGUCUGACCAUGUAGAUGGCUAGAAUUAUUACCUAUAAACAAAUAACACAUUUUUAUCUCUAGCCAAGAUUCCUUUACUGAAUUUCAGACCUAUUUAAUUGCUAACACAACAUCUCUUCUUGGAGGUCUCAACAUCACCUCAAACUCAAAUGCCCAAUUCAACUUCAUAAGCUUUCCUCCAUUGUGACUUUCUUUCAGUAUUGUUUGUUUCAGUUAAUGACUUUGCAUAAGACCCACAGACCUGGGUCCGAUUCCUGGCUGUAUUAUCUGCUGCCAGAUGACCUUAGUCAAGUUACUUUAUUUCCUAUGGUCUCAGUUUCCUCAUCUGUACCCAUCACUCAACUGUACCCUAGUUAAAAGGGUCAAUUCUUUUUAACUAGGAGGCUGAACCUGAAAGAAUUUUG
Long non-coding RNA from Callithrix jacchus (white-tufted-ear marmoset), 4627 nucleotides. NCBI's taxonomy places the organism in Eukaryota, Metazoa, Chordata, Mammalia, Primates, Cebidae. The record is from Ensembl.